CCCUUAGACGUUCUGGGCCGCACGCGCGCUACACUGACGAAGGCAACGAGCUUUCCUUUACCGAAAGGUACGGGUAAUCUUUUGAAACUUCGUCGUGCUGGGGAUAGAUCCUUGCAAUUUUUGAUCUUAAACGAGGAAUGCCUAGUAAGCGCAAGUCAUCAACUUGCGUUGAUUACGUCCCUGCCCUUUGUACACACCGCCCGUCGCUACUACCGAUUGAAUGGUUUAGUGAGGCCUUCGGAUCCGCGACUCGUUUUGUGGAGAAGUUGGACAAACUCAGUCAUUUAGAGGAAGUAAAAGUCGCAACA
RNAcentral lists this ribosomal RNA (308 nucleotides) under uncultured eukaryote. Its description in RNAcentral is "partial 18S ribosomal RNA". It matches the Rfam family "Eukaryotic small subunit ribosomal RNA", at positions 1470 to 1796 of the family's 1831-position model. The record is from RNAcentral.